This 73-nucleotide transfer RNA is filed under the name Quasipaa spinosa (Chinese spiny frog). RNAcentral's name for it is "tRNA-Asn". RNAcentral also lists the same sequence under 4 other names. Lineage: Eukaryota; Metazoa; Chordata; Amphibia; Anura; Dicroglossidae. The record is from RNAcentral.
UAGAAUGAAGCUCGCUGGAUUGAGUGUUUAGCUGUUAACUAAAAUAUUACGGGAUCAAGGCCCGUCUUUCUAG